Molecule: transfer RNA, 64 nt
Filed under: Sipyloidea sipylus
Lineage: Eukaryota; Metazoa; Arthropoda; Insecta; Phasmatodea; Lonchodidae
Description: tRNA-Arg
Source: RNAcentral
AAAUAAUAAGCAUUAAUGCAUUUAGUUUCGACCUAAAAGAAGAUAUUAAUAAUAUCAUUAUUUA